AGUAUAAGUGAGCGGUAACACAGGUCAGGUNAAAUGUCUGGGAAACUGCCUGAUGGAGGGGGAUAACUACUGGAAACGGUAGCUAAUACCGCAUAACGUCUUCGGACCAAAGUGGGGGACCUUCGGGCCUCAUGCCAUCAGAUGUGCCCAGAUGGGAUUAGCUAGUAGUGGGGGUAAAUGGGCUCAUCCCUAGGGCUGGACCGAUUCCCCUUAGCCUUGGUUCUUGAGGAGGGAAUUGACCCAAGGCCACACUUGGAAACCUUGAGAACAACCNGGUUCCCAAGAACUUCCUUACCGGGGAAGGCCAG
RNAcentral lists this ribosomal RNA (308 nucleotides) under uncultured bacterium. RNAcentral describes it as "partial 16S ribosomal RNA". The stretch from base 29 to 210 matches the Rfam family "Bacterial small subunit ribosomal RNA", at positions 108 to 309 of the family's 1533-position model. The record is from RNAcentral.